AAUCAAAUAAAUCUUAUUGUAUUACCUUUUGUUGAUCUGUAAUAAUUGUCCAACCAUCACCAUUGUCAGGAUGCAAGUUUUGCCUGUAGUAACUGCAUAAACCAUUCCUAUGUAACUCUCCUCUCAGAAUCAACCAAUGCCCAAGCAACAGGAACAUUUGGUUGUUCUCGUCUUUACCAACAACUGCUUAUAACUCUCUUUUGAUUACUCCUUUCAAAAAACACCCAUCUAAACC
This 235-nucleotide long non-coding RNA is filed under the name Ricinus communis (castor bean). RNAcentral describes it as "long non-coding RNA (RCOM_LNC000978)". The record is from RNAcentral. Lineage: Eukaryota; Viridiplantae; Streptophyta; Magnoliopsida; Malpighiales; Euphorbiaceae.